UAAGAAUCUUCCGCAAUGGGGGAAACCCUGACGGAGCGACGCCGCGUGGACGAAGAAGGCCGGAAGGUUGUAAAGUCCUUUUCCUGGGGGAGAAUAAAGAGCGGAGGGAAUGCCGUUUUGAUGACGUGAACCAGGGAAUAAGCCCCGGCUAAUUACGUGCCAGCAGCCGCGGUAACACGUAAGGGGCGAGCGUUGUUCGGAUUUAUUGGGCGUAAAGGGCGUGUAGGCGGUGAGGUAAGGCUGGUGUGAAAUAUCCCGGCUCAACCGGGGGGGCGCGCUGGAAACUGUCUUACUUGAGUGAUGGAGGGGGAGCUGGAAUUCCUGGUGUAGGGGUGAAAUCUGUGGAUAUCAGGAAGAACACCGGAGGCGAAGGCGAGCUCCUGGCCAUUUACUGACGCUGAGGCGCGAAAGCGUGGGGAGCGAAC
This 425-nucleotide ribosomal RNA is filed under the name uncultured bacterium. RNAcentral describes it as "bacterial SSU rRNA". It matches the Rfam family "Bacterial small subunit ribosomal RNA", at positions 356 to 773 of the family's 1533-position model. The record is from RNAcentral.